This 1507-nucleotide ribosomal RNA is filed under the name uncultured bacterium. RNAcentral describes it as "bacterial SSU rRNA". It matches the Rfam family "Bacterial small subunit ribosomal RNA". The record is from RNAcentral.
AGAGUUUGAUCCUGGCUCAGAACGAACGUUGGCGGCGUGCUUAACACAUGCAAGUCGAACGAGAACGGUUUCUUCGGAGACCAAGUAAAGUGGCGCACGGGUGAGUAACGCGUAGAUAACCUGUCCAGGUGUAUGGGAUAGCCCUUCGAAAGGGGGAUUAAUACCGUAUACGUUAGUCUGUUAUAAGGCAGAUUAAGAAAGGUGGCCUCUAUUUAUAAGCUAUCGCAUUUGGAGGGGUCUGCGUACCAUUAGUUUGUUGGUGGGGUAAUGGCCUACCAAGACUUCGAUGGUUAGCGGGUCUGAGAGGAUGAUCCGUCACACUGGCACUGAAACACGGGCCAGACUCCUACGGGAGGCAGCAGUGAGGAAUAUUGCGCAAUGGGGGAAACCCUGACGCAGCGACGCCGCGUGGGUGAGGAAGGCUUUCGGGUCGUAAAGCCCUGUCAGAAGGGAAGAAAUGUGUAUAAGUUAAUAUCUUAUACACUUGACGGUACCUUCAAAGGAAGCACCGGCUAACUCCGUGCCAGCAGCCGCGGUAAUACAGAGGGUGCAAGCGUUAAUCGGAAUUACUUGGGCGUAAAGCGCGCGUAGGUGGUUUGAUAAGUUGGAUGUGAAAUCCCCGGGCUUAACCUGGGUCGGUCAUUCAAAACUGUCAGACUAGAGUAUGGUAGAGGGUAGUGGAAUUCCUAGUGUAGCGGUGAAAUGCGUAGAUAUUAGGAGGAACACCAGUGGCGAAGGCGACUGCCUGGACUGAUACUGACACUGAGGUGCGAAAGCGUGGGUAGCGAACAGGAUUAGAUACCCUGGUAGUCCACGCCGUAAACGAUGACAACUAGACGUUGGGUUCCUUAGAGAAUUUAGUGUCGAAGCUAACGCGUUAAGUUGUCCGCCUGGGGAGUACGGUCGCAAGAUUAAAACUCAAAGGAAUUGACGGGGGCCCGCACAAGCGGUGGAGCAUGUGGUUUAAUUCGAUGCAACGCGAAGAACCUUACCAUCCCUUGACAUCCAGAGAAUCUGUUAGAGAUAGUAGAGUGCCUUCGGGAACUCUGAGACAGGUGCUGCAUGGCUGUCGUCAGCUCGUGUCGUGAGAUGUUGGGUUAAGUCCCGCAACGAGCGUAACCCUUGUUCUUUAGUUUGCCAGUAUUUAGUUAGGCACUCUAAAGAGACUGCCUCGGUUUAACGGGGAGGAAGGUGGGGAUGACGUCAAGUCCUCAUGGGCCUUUAUACCCAGGGGCUACACACGUGCUACAAUGGGCUGUACAAAGGGUAGCUAAUUCGCGAGGAAGCGCUAAUCCCAAAAAGCAGCUCUCAGUUCGGAUUGGAGUCUGCAACUCGACUCCAUGAAGGUGGAAUCGCUAGUAUUCGUGGAUCAGCACGCCACGGUGAAUACGUUCCCGGGCCUUGUACACACCGCCCGUCACACCACGAAAGUCGACUGUACCAGAAGUUGCUGGGCUAACUACCUUGUUACGACUUCACCCCAAUUACCGGCCGUACCUUAGGUACC